Molecule: long non-coding RNA, 494 nt
Filed under: Ananas comosus (pineapple)
Lineage: Eukaryota; Viridiplantae; Streptophyta; Magnoliopsida; Poales; Bromeliaceae
Description: long non-coding RNA (ACOM_LNC022050)
Source: RNAcentral
AAAAAAGCUAUUUUAAUAGUUGGUGUAUAUAUAUCUACAUAGUCCAGGUGAGAUACUAUUGGUGCUAUCAAGUUUUUCGCCUUUAGAUUUAACCAUUUGACUAUUUUUAUCCGUUAGAUUAGUACUAUUAAACCAAUAACUCACUCAAUUCUAGAGGGCCCAUAUUAUUCUAACCGUAUAUUUUUUCAUUCAAGAGCUGAAAACCUAAUAGCACAAAUAGUUUGGUACUAUUGAUAGUAUUCCAGCCUAGAUCUAGAGAGAGAGAGAGAAUCAAGAUUUUUUUUUAUUUUUUUUUUAUUUUUUUUUUUGAGAGAUAGGUUGCAGCUACCCGCUUCGUUUAUUCCAUUUUAGAAAUAAACUUAACUUGAAAUGUGAAUCAACUAGGAUUCGAACUUGAAACUUCGGGUACCAACCAUCAAGCCCUUUGCCGCUUGCUCUGGAGACGGUCGAUAGUCAAGUCAUUUUUGAUGCUGUAUCUUCUGUGUUUCAUCGAU